GAAGCCACAUCCCUGGCAUGGUCAGCAUGUGUUGCAGAGGACAUAAUAAAACUACUGGUGCUGGGCUGUUACCAAGGAUGUCUGAAGGAAUUGUCCAUAAGUGCAGCAUGUGCAGCAUGCCACAGUAGGUCCAUAACCUGUCCGGUUUCUGCCUUUACAUUCCAAAAAACUUUUAGCUGCUGGUGAUUAAUGUGCUUAGCCUUAUCAUUUGCUCAUCUUUUCCUUCUUUCCAUCUCAAAUUUGCAGUAUUCCUCUAACUAAAGCCUCAGUCACACUGUGAUAGUCCCUCAGUUUGAUGAAUAACUCCUUUUCUGCCAACCUGA
Molecule: long non-coding RNA, 323 nt
Filed under: Gallus gallus (chicken)
Lineage: Eukaryota; Metazoa; Chordata; Aves; Galliformes; Phasianidae
Source: RNAcentral